UCUACUUCACCUCUUAAGAUCCAUCCAUCUUGAUCCCGUCUGUUGUUCUCUGGUCACGCCACCGGUGGCCUCGUGAUGCACCGCGCCUCCACCCUCACCUCCUCCUGCUGCCCCAUGCGCCUGGCCAUGGGAUCACUGGUUGCUGACGUUCUACUGUGGCGCCACGCCACCAACGGCCAACCUACUGCUGCAGAGGACGGAGGAGUUAACCUGUGGUCGGGUGCCUUGCGCAACCUGGAUCCUGAGCACGAUCGCGCCCCUCUCCUCAUCUAGAGUUUUUUAUUCCAUUCAAGCUACUCUGGUAAGUGGUGUAUAUGUUGAUCCGUUUUGUAAUACCCAUGAAGCAAAUUGGUUGCCACACCUCCGUUACACCAUUUGACUCUCAUCAGGUUGUUGCUCAUCCAUUGUUUUUUUAAUCAGGUAGCUGGAUGCUCGCAUCCAAGAUCUGCAUGACUGCAGGUGAUUACGAAAUAGUUUCCCAACUUCUCUGUUUUAGCUACCUAAGAAAGGGUAUCUAUCCAAGGCAUGCAUCAUUAGUCCAACAUAAAAUUUCCACACCCAAGGUCAUCUGUGAUCGGAGGAACACUUUAUGUACAGACACAUGAAAGUGAAACUGAAGAGCUAUGUAACUACUCUAUGUAAUAUGGGCUUUUAUUUUUGACAAGGUAUGUUAAUUAUAUGAGAUGACCACUAAGUUGAUUUUUUUCAGAGGUAUGGAUCUGUUAUUUUAGUUUAUAUCCCAUGAUGUCUCUUUCCUUUGUAAAGCAUGAAAUUGCAUCGGUCCUAACCAUGUAUUGUCAUAUCGCGCAACCCAGGAAUUGAUGAUAUUAAAAGAGAAGUAUGAUGAUCAGUUGUAUGAAAAUAUUCGAUACAUCUAGGACUAUGGUCAUGAGAGGAUUGUUCCUACAGGACCAAUGAAUGUUAAAUAUAUCACUGACCAUGUAUUGUCAUAUUUGCACAUCCUAGGAACUGAUGAGAUUAAAAGAGAAGUAUGGUUCCAGUUGUAUGGAAAGAUUUGAUACAUCCAAGACUACAGUAAUAACAAAAUUGUCUCUAGAGGACCAGUGAAUAUUUUAUAUAAAUUCCGACAAUGGACUUCACAUACUUUAUAUUGUGUAUCAUUUGAUCUUGGUUUUGUUGUUUUCUUGAGGAAUGUAGGUAUAUUGUUGUUUUCUUGAGGAAUACAUGUUAUCUAUGGUAUGUACUCAGUUUAAGUUUCAACCCUUCUCAUAUUUAUU
This 1238-nucleotide long non-coding RNA is filed under the name Triticum aestivum (bread wheat). RNAcentral's name for it is "long non-coding RNA (TAES_LNC021286)". Lineage: Eukaryota; Viridiplantae; Streptophyta; Magnoliopsida; Poales; Poaceae. The record is from RNAcentral.